This is a long non-coding RNA of Nannospalax galili (Upper Galilee mountains blind mole rat), 768 nucleotides long. RefSeq lists it as uncharacterized. The transcript has 2 exons. NCBI's taxonomy places the organism in Eukaryota, Metazoa, Chordata, Mammalia, Rodentia, Spalacidae. The record is from RefSeq and is a predicted model, not a curated record.
AGAAAACUUACAGCGCCGGGUCCUGCGGAGGGGCGAGACACUAUUUUGUUUUGUAAUACCGACAAUUACUUCUAGUUUGAUCAAUGGGUAUAAUUUCUAAGUGGUCGGUUGGAUCUGCGUAAGCUUUUUCAUGCAUUUGGUAACCCACCCGUGUGAGUUGCGAAACGUACCGCGUAGACUCUCCUGGCGGCGCCGAGCAGAAAGCUAGGCCUGCCCAGCGGCAGCCAGCGAGCAUCAGGCCUUCGGGAAGGACGCCAAGAAUGCGAUCCGGAAUCCUUCUCCCCAACCCUGGUCGGAUGACUUCCUAGCUGACCUCUGGGCCGAGAUGGGCGGGAAGCCCAGGCGCAGGCCCAGGCCCAGGCCCCACCGGACUGGAAAAAAGGAAGGCACAUGAGGAGCCGGGCCAGUUCCUUUCGCUUUCCUCUAGUUUCGGGAGCAACUACCUGAACCAGACAGAAAAGGUUUCCACUGACCCGGCAGCACACGGACUCGCUGUCCCAGGGCUCAGGAAAAAGUAGCGUCCAUAGAAAAACAACCGACUCUAAGCAGAAUUUAGUCUCGGGGCCUCCCUUGACAGUCAAUUUUCAGAACCAACAACACACCUCCUUCUUUUCUUUCUAAGAACUGUGUCCUGUCCCGUGCACCCCACUCCUGGCUGGGCGUUUUCCUCAAGUGUACCAUCCUCCUGCAAAAUUUCUUGAUUUUUAAAAUACUAAAGUAGAUAGGGUGACCUAGGGUUCUACUUUUAAAAAUCAAAACACCCCCCCC